RNAcentral lists this long non-coding RNA (396 nucleotides) under Lathyrus oleraceus (garden pea). Its description in RNAcentral is "Pisum sativum (pea) long non-coding RNA (PSAT_LNC003958)". The record is from RNAcentral. Lineage: Eukaryota; Viridiplantae; Streptophyta; Magnoliopsida; Fabales; Fabaceae.
UUCUUUCUAUAAGUUCUUUUGUUUGAUUUUUACUUUUUUUAUUGGUUAUUUUAUUUGACUAUUUCUCUCUUUAUUGAUCGGAUACUUUUUUCUAUUAGUUCUUCUAUUUUUUAUAUUUUUCUUUAUAUUUGAUUUAGUUUGAUUUCUCUUUUUGGUUGCUACUUUUUUUUAAUGAUAUUUGUUGUUUUAGUUUGAUUUUUUUUUAUAAAAACUCUCAAUAUUUCAUAUAAAUGUAUUGUAAAUUUUAGGAGUGAUGUUAGAUAAUAGGGAUGAACUUUUCUAUUAUAAUUUAACUAAGGAUGGUUUUUUAUAUUCAUAUUUUAUUCUAUAUUAUUUGUGUAAUUUUUAUUUUUAUUAGUUAUGUUGUUUAUUUAUUAAAUUCGAACCACUUUCUUU